Molecule: long non-coding RNA, 14792 nt
Filed under: Theobroma cacao (cacao)
Lineage: Eukaryota; Viridiplantae; Streptophyta; Magnoliopsida; Malvales; Malvaceae
Description: long non-coding RNA (TCAC_LNC002840)
Source: RNAcentral
AAUUUCAUCAUGUUGAAUUUGAACCAUCGCCUUCUUUACAAACUAUGUUUUCAACUUCAGAAUCCCAACAAAGUCCCAAACCAUCAAUUGUAUCAGUCUUUAAGAUCACAACUGAUCAACUAAACACCCUCAAAGCCAAAGUAAAUGAAAGUUCAAAUAGUAAUGCAAAAUAUAGCACCUACAGUAUCUUAACUGCACACAUAUGGCGUUGCGCAACCAAAGCAAGAGACCUCUUAGAGGACCAACAACUCAAGUUAACCAUGCCAGUUGAUGGACGGAACAGAUUGCAUCCUCCCCUCCCACCUGGCUACUUUGGCAAUGUAAUCGUCAUGGCUGCACUCGUUGCCUUAUCUGGUGAUCUUCUAUCAGAAUCAUUCAUAGAUACUGUGAAGAGAAUUCACAAAAUAUUGAAAGAAAUGGAUGAUGAAUAUCUGAGAUCAAGUAUUGACUACAUAGAAAAAGCUCCAGACAUAAAUGUUAUCAGGCGAGGGCCACAAACUAUGCGGUGCCCAAACCUUAGUGUCAACAGUUGGAUAUGGUUGCCUAUCCAUGAUGCAGACUUUGGAUGGGGUCGUCCUAUUUUUAUGAGGCCGGCAAAUAUUGUCCAUGAAGGAAAAGUAUACAUACUUCCGAGCCCAACCAAGGGUGGUAGCGUGACAUUGGUGACACGUCUAGAGACAUCUCACAUGAAACUCUUUGGAAAGCUUCUUUACGAAUUCUAACAACACAAAGGGUUGCUCGUCACUAAUUGUUCUCCUUUUCAACCGAGUUUGGAUUCGCAGAGUCCAUGUCUUAGUUAUUUUAGUGGUCUCAAUUCUGUUUCCAUAAGUUGUUUUUUGAGGUGUUUCCAGUUGUAUUCUGCCAGUGUUUGAUUUAUGGUGUUUCUCAUCUUUGCUUUGUUUCUGGUUUGGAGAUUCCUUUUGCUAGUUAUGCCAAACUUGUAAUCCUUAUUUUUUAAUAGUAAUAAAUAAAUUUUGUUUCCUUCGUGAGUGAAAAAAAAAGCCAAAAGCAAUCUACAUAGGUUGAUGUCUUUCCAUAUCUCUUUCUUUUUGUUGUUCAUCCCCUUAUUCUAACUCUAGCCCAUUUGAAUUCGUCUUCUCUCACUAAGUUGUUUAGAUUGACAUAUAUCAUACAUUUAUAUUGAUAUAUAAUAUGUUCAUAUAUGUAAUGUAUGGAACAUUAUUUUCGAUGUACUUUAUUGUUCAUUACUUGUUUUGCAGCAGUAGGCAGCAUUCAUAUUAACGAGCUGCUGGGGUUUUUCCUUGCUUGCCCUUGGCAGUGAAACUGCAGAAGGAAUCAAGACGCAUGGUAUUUCAUUUCUUUUUAUUAGUAUCCUUAUUUGUAAAGAGAAAAGAAAAAAUAGAUGGAAAAUGAAACCAGCACUCAAAUAGUGAUGAUAAUGGAUAUCCUAUUACAAAAUACCCACAACUAUUUUAUCCGCUUAUAUAGAGUUAGAGUAUUUUAUAAUCAAAUUCGAGUAGAAUUCAAGUAUCACCCUUUAAGUACCUGAUAUCCGAACCUAAUUGACUAUACAAAAAAAACUAAAGACAUAUGAACAUUGUUAAUAGAUAAAUAUUUAAUAGAUAAACAUAAAAAACUAAAAACUUUUUCCCUUCCAUAUUAUGUAGUUGUAAAUGAACACAAAAGUGGUAAUCAAUUGUUAUUUUCCUCAAGAGAAAUUGGAAGUCUUCCUCAUCUUCUAAAGUUUGGCUAAAAAAUCAAAUAAUUCCAGUUAGAUCAACCUUUUAUACGUAAUGAGAAAUAAUUAUUUUCUUUCAUCAUUUUAUUGAUUUGAUUUUAAUCAAAAGAUUGAAAAAGGUAUACUCUCAUUCUAUUCACUCUAUUUAUACAUUAAUGAUUUUCAAUUUGGGUCAAUUUAAGAUAGUUUGGAUUAAGUUUAAAUUUUUAUAAACUAAUUUGGUAAAUAAAUCAAAAACUUCAACUUGCUUUAAAAUGUAUUUGUCAAAUCGAAAUACAUAUCGUUUAUUGAAUUUUUAUUUUUUUUAAUAUCGUAUCGUAUCGGUAAAAAAAUUUAAAAUAAAUUACAAAUAAUAUUUAUAUAUGAGAAAUAGAAAAAAAUUAAAAAUAUUAUAUUUAUCAAUAAAAUUAAAGAUUAUAUGACAUAAAUUGAAAAGAUGAUUAUUUUUUAAUUUAAACUCUUAAUAUAUUUCUUAAUACAUAAUAUAUUUUUUAAAUAAAAUAUACAUUUUUAUAUUAAUUUAUUGAUUAAAAAUUGAGAAGCACUUGAAAUCAAAAUGGGAAUUUAAUUUUUGAAUACUUUUUUAUUUAAAAUCAUUGAAACUUAUUAAAAAAAAUUUUAAUGUUUCAACUUAAAAAAUAAAUAAAUAAUUUUUUAAUAAUUAAUUAAAAUCAAAUUUAUAAAAAAUUUACCACCUGUAUUAUACUAUCCAUAGUACAAUACGGUUUUUAUAUUUAAUUAAAUAUAAUAUAAUUAUAAAUAUAUUUUAUUUUUUAUUAAUAUCAAUCAAUAUAGUAGUAUACGCGUCACAUUUUCCAAGAAGAUCAACUUCAACUGACAUGCUACUUUAAAUAGAGAAGUGAAGAGAAUGAGAAGGUGUGACAUGUCAACGUCGACUACAGGUGGCAUGUCGUUUUAAAUGUUGACUAGCAAAUAAAUAAUUGUAGCCUUUAUGUUUGAUCUCUCGUGGCUUGUCAACUACCUUAUAUGUGAUUUUACAGAUGGUUCAAAAGUUCCUCAACGACUUCCAAAAACAGGCUAUUCUGUAGGAAUUUCUUCUUAUCCUCUUCUGGGGUUACAGGUACAACUCAGUUUUUAUCAAACAAGAAUAGAAAAAAAAUAAUAAUAAAGUUUUUUUUUGCAUAUAAUAAACGUAUAUGUUUAUUAAAGAAAAAUAUUUUAAUUAGCUACUCACCUACUAUUAUUUUGAAAAAAAUUAAUGAUUGAAAAGUAAGGAUAUAUAGAGGGAGAAGUAGAAACCAUGCUACGAGCUAGUUAGUAAGGGAGUUUAGCUGACCACGUUUCAUUUUUCUUUCAAUUAUUCAAUUUAUUAUUUCUAGAUUCAUAAUUCAUUCCUCUAUGGAUACCUGCUAGCAAAUAUGAAUCUUACAUAUAAGAUAAGCAAUAUACCUCCACUUAUUAUAUUUCAAAAUUAAAAUAAAAUUUUUAAAAUUUAGGAGUAUUUAGAUUGUUUCAUACAUUUCUCGAUUAAAAACUUUGCUCUUUAGGUUGUGUGCUAAGUUAUCUAGUUCGAAAGUUUGUAUUAAAACUGAUACAUACACAUAUUUUUUUUAUGAAAAUUGCUUAUGAAUGUUUUUUUUCUGAAUUUUUUUAUGUCAUGUAUUUAACAAGAAGAAUUGCAUAUGAAUAUUGCAAUUAUUGGUAGGUAACCACUUUCAAAUGUGGAGGAAUUUCUCUUGGAGUUUCUUUUCAACACACACUGUAGAUGGUUCAUCUGGACUUCAUUUCAUAAAUAGUUGGGCCAACACAGUGCAAGGAUUGUCCUCUAGUAUUGCUCCAUUCUUGGAUCAGACCUUUUUUCAAGCCCGAAACCUAUCGGCAAUAAAAUUUCGUCAUGUUGAAUUUGAACCAUCUCCUCCUUUACAAACUGUAUUUUCAACGUCACAAUCCCAAUUAAGUUCAAAACCAAUAAUUGUAUCUGUCUUUACGAUCACAGCUGAUCAACUAAACGCCCUCAAAGCCAAAAUAAAAUGAAAAUUCAAGUAGUAAUAUUUAAAACGAAUUUGAGAAUUGAGAGGAUACAAAUUAAUUUUAAUUAAAUUUAUUUAAAAAGAUAACUAUUGAUUUUAUAGUUUGUGGAUAUGAACGUUUACCUUUAUUCUUAUAAAUUUAUGUCAAAAUUUUUAAAAAGUUAAUUUUUAUCCUUAUUAAUUAUUAUGCAUUUAAAUCAAUAUUUGUACAAAGUUAAUUUUCAAUAUAUUUUUACUUUAUUUAACACGACAUCUUAGAGUAACUCAUUUAUUUUUUUUUAUAAAUUAGGUUUUUAUUCAAGCUUAGCCAAAGGCCAAUUAGCCAUUUGGCUUAUUAGGUACAGAAGUAAGAACGAACACAAAAAAACCCCACUAAUUUCAACUAAUUUAGAUUGUGGGACCUCUCACUAGGGAACAUAUUCCUUCUUACAAGUUGUCUAGAUUUUAAUGACGUGUACAUCCUUUCCAGCCCGCAUGGUCCCUAUGGCACCCCUCUUCAAGCAUUCUAAAUUUGUUUUGGGAAUGUAGGCUUUUGAUCAGAUUUGUAGCCAUCAAUAUUUUUGAAACACUAAUAUCAACUUUAUGUAUUUUAUUUUUAUUUUCAUACAUUUACAUUAAAAUUGAAAAAUAUUAUUUGAUUUGACAUUAAAAUUUUUAAUUUUUAAUAUAAAUUAAAAAUUAUUAAUUAUAUAAAUUAUUAAUUUCGAGCUAGCAUAUAAAGAAUUUUCUGCUACCAUCCCUAAUUAAGAAAGAAGAAACACCAAGAUUAAACCAACUGAAGUUUUCUCUUUACCUUUCAAAAAAAAAAAAAAACAACUAAGGUUUUCUCUUGAGAACAAAAGCGCCCACAUUCACAAAAACCAUUUACUGAAGCUUUUUUGCAUUAACAAAAGAAAGAGGAGAGGGUACACGUGCAUAUGUGAGAAUUUAAAAUGAAAAGCAAAACCCAAAGCUCUUCCCAGAUUACCACACUGGCUGCUGAUUGUAGUGAUCCUUCUCCUUUUUCUUAGCAGCAGCAAGCCUUGCACUGCUUGCAGCAACCUCACUGGCACUUGCUCGGGCAGCACCAUCCAUCUCUUUACUAGAUUAUUUCUUCUUCGUGGAAACUACUUUUUCAGCCGCUCUUUCACAUCAACUGCAGAUGUCUCUUCUGGUUUCUCAGUUUCACUAGUUUCUUCGGCGUCAUUUUCAGCAUCAAUUGCCUUCAGGGUGGCCCUGCGAUGAUUCUUUCACCUCCUAUGACGAUUUAUCCUUAUUUUCUUCUUUUUGGCAACUUUUGCUCUCAGCAGGAGCAUUCUCUUUCUUUUCCAUUUCUCCAUUACUCUCUGCUUUUUUCCCCUGUGCAAUGCUCUCCCAAUUUCUUUCCCAUUUUUCUUGACCUUACUGGCACAUUGAAGAUAAGUGCCAAAUGAUACAGAGAAGCAUGACACCUUCCAUUAUCAUUUACAAAUUCAAUGGUCCGUUAAAAGCCUCUUGGCCGCAUAAAACUUCAUUUGUCCAAGGCAACCUUUUUCUUUUCUCGUGGCUGGAGAAUUAUUGCUUUAUUUUUUUUACAUGGCAGAGCUACUCCUGAAGGAUCCAAUAGCUUUAGCAGCAGCUGCCCUCAGGAUAUAUUGGUGAUAGAUUGCAGCAAAGGUGGCACCAAUGAAGGGUCCAACCCAGAAAAUCCACUGCAAGAAUUCAAGCACAACAAAUGUUGCAUUAAGCAUCAAUACUUCAGAAAGGUUGUCAUAAAAUUAAGGAAAAAUUAGAAUCAAUUGUUAGAGUGAAAGGUUCAUACAUGGUCAUUCAGUGGCUUGUCCUGCUUGUACAUAACAGUAGCUCCAAAACUACUCGCAGGGUUGAUACCGGUGCCAGUGAUCGGAAUAGUGGAGAAGUGAACCAUGAACACAGCAAACCCAAUGGGAAGUGGUGCCAAGACCUUAAACUAGAAUAUAGAAAAACAAAAUAGUAACUAAUAAAAAUGGAAAGUUUUUGUACACUUUAUGUCUAGCUACUUCUUAUUUGUGAUUUCAAAUUCAGAGCCACACAGUCAGUGAAUUUUGCGAUCAAACCAAAAUUAGUUAGUAAGAUUUCUACGGAAUUUGUACCUUAAUUUGAGAGGAUAAAAAAGGGAAAAAAGAAAGUGGGGAGUUGGUUGAGUUAGAGACAUACAGGGACGUGGGAGGCUCUAGCAUUCCUCUUGGGAUCAGUAGCAGAGAAAACAGUGUAGACAAGAACAAAGGUGCCGAUUAUUUCAGCAGUCAAACCGGUUCUGCGGCUGUAUCCACUAGCGAGGCUGUUGACUGCUCCUCCAUACUGGUUGUGGUAAGAUUUUUGGAAUGCCUUCGUCAGCCCACACCCACAGACGGCUCCCAAAACAUUGAGCAGCCAUGUACGAUACGGCUCGAACGAAAGACACCUUCCUAGCCAGGAACAUCCCAAAGGUCACAGCUGGGUUGAUGUGCCCUCCUGCAUAUUCAAUCAAAAACUGUUAGCCAUAUGCUAAAUCACCCAGUUUCCCUUUUUUAAUUGUAAACUUUUAUACUUUUUAACACUUUCUUGCUUCUGAAAAAACUUUUACUUCAGUGGGAACAUGUUCUUGGAAAACUAAUUUGGCAAAUGAGCUGUUUUUGGUUAAGCUUUCAAUGCAGCUUUUUGGCUUUACAAAAAAUUAUUAUAUAUUUUAGUAACAUCACUGAUAAAAUUAUUAUAUAUGUUUUCUCAAAAGAAAUAUUCGCACUUAAUUUUUUUACAAAAAUCAAAUUCUGUGCUAAGUGAUAAAAUCAUGAAGAAACUUUUUUGAAAUGGUUUACUAAAACAUGUUAGGAAAAUAUCCUUUUCAUCCAAGGACUAACAUAUGAUCAAUUACUCAGAGAAGAAGGUUGAGAGAGUUAAAAUUUACCUGAGAUACCAGCAGUGCAGUAAACAAGGAUAAAGAUCAUGCCACCAAAAGACCAAGCAAUGCCAAGAAAGCCAACACCGCCGCAGUAAUCACCGCCCUUGUAAGCCUGGGUCAAGUGUCCGAUCACUGUCGACACAGUAAUGUACAAAAAACAAGAGCGUGGCGAUAAACUCAGCUAUUAUGGCCCAGUAAAACGACCACUUUGUCAACUCCUCCACGCCGAUCAACGGAGCUGAUGGAGGAUCAUGGUAGUCCUUGGCUUGGAACUCUCCACCGACCUCUAUAGCCAUGGCCUCUUUGCGCUUAGAAAAUUCAAUGACAAUGUGAUCAAAAGGAGAUAGAAGCUUGGAGGAGAGCCUUUCUUUUGUGAAAUAGAUGUGAAGUGUUUUUGUGAUGGGAAGUAUGGAGAAAGUGGAGUGGGGGGUGGGAGAGUUGACUGAGUUUUAACUAGCCUAGCUUUGCAAAAGUCCGCUGCUCCCUCUUUCUGACUCCUUCCCUGUCCUAUCUAUAAAUUUUUAUCAAGUGUUUACUCGAUAAUGUAAACAAUAAUUAUUAAUAAAGAAAAAAGAAAAUUAAACACUUUUCAUUCCAUCACUUAUCUUUCUAAUCUUACCUUUUUUUUUAAAUAAAAAAGGUGAAAAUUUCGUUAUGCACAAUUAGCAAUAUAACAUCAAUGACGGGAGGCUGAAACAAACCUCCAUACUCAAUCCACAAACUAAAGAAGAACAAAAAUAAGAUCUGCAGUGCGUAUAUUCACCCGAGUUCCCCAGAAAAACAAGCAUUUACAAUCCCCCAUCAAACUGCAAGGUUAGCACAACCUCUUCCUAGCACAUCAGAGGCAAACUAGACAAUCUCACAACAAAAACAGGACUAUUCCCUGUACAAACACCAAAAACAUCCACAGACACUCUACAAAACAAAGCACCACGCAGCAAUUCAAAAACGUAUGUAAGCGCCUGCAGACCGCAACAGUCGCAAGGAAUGCUAAGUCCCAAUUCUCCCCCUUCACUGUUUCUCUCCACUAUCCCCUUUAUUCUUCCCUUUUUCAAUCACUUGUCUUUUAAGUGUUUCGCUCUCAUCUUAAAAUUGAGAAUCCAAUAUCAUCUUUAAGAUUGUUAUCAAAAAUUAAAGCAGAUAAAUAACUCAAACAAGUGUGAGACGUGAUCACUCUCUUUAAAGAUAAUUUUCACUCUUUUAGAGUAUAAAAUUUGAUGCAAAAGAAUUAAAGUGAUUAUCUCUCAAGAUUUAAUAGACUUUUUUUAAAUAUUUUACAUAAAUUAUUAAAAAUACAAGAGUAGCAGAAAAAUAAAGAAAGAAAGAACCCAACAACUCUAUUUUCUAUCUUCUUCGGUAAAAAAGACACGGUCAAAGUAAGAUAGAAAAUAUUACUUGGACUUAGUCCACGUGUAAACUCACAUGUAUGGAAAAAACGAAUAUUUUCUUAAAGUUUUGCUCGAUCUCGUGUGUGUGUGUAAAACCACUUUCUUUUCUAACUUUUAACAAGUUAGGAAUAUCAAUGGAUAUCCUGUUACAAAAUACCCGUUAUAUAAGGUUAAGGUAGGUUUGGGACAAGUUCAAGUAGCAAUUGUACUACCCAUAUAGGUUUGGGUAGGAUUCGGGUUCUAUCCCUUAGGUACCCACUAUUCGAACUUGAUUAUGUUGAUAUUCAGAUUUAGACGGGUACUUACCUCGAAACUGAACCUUAUACUUAUUUAUAAAUCUGGCAAUUUCAAACACAACACGUUAACACGACAUAAAAAAAUACGGAAUUAAACAAGUUUGGGUUUAGUUUUAACGUGUUUCGUAUCUAAUCGUGUCUGACAUGUUUAAGAUAUGAAAAUUUUCAUAUCUUAACGUGUCUGAUACGAGUAAUACGUUUAAAACACUUUUAAACACGUUUAAUUAAUCGUAUUAAUCAUGUUGUCAUGUUUAAAUGUACAAAUGUAUUUAAUCGUGUUAUCGUGUUUAAACAUGUAUACAUGACACACUUAUCAACUUGUUAAAAAUUAUUAAUCAAAGACUAUUUUAACCUUACUUAAAUAAUUUUAAACAAUUAUUUUAAUAAGAUUUUUAAAUUUUAUAAAGAUAAUAAUGUAUUUAUGUCAUGCCCAAAUCCUAAUUUUAAAUUUUGUUUUGUCAUAUUUGAUAUUCUUGUUAUUUUGUUUUCUUCUAAUUGUUUUUAUAAUUAUUAAUUUUAAAUUUAAAUAAUAAAAUUAUAUUUAAUUGUAAAUAUUUUUAUUUAAUCGUGUUAAUCGUAUUGUGUCAUAUAUUGACACGUUUAACAAACGUGUCUAAACGUAUCGUGUCGUAUUACACGGUAAUUAAACAUAUACGUGUAGGUAUUUUAAAUUUAAAAUAUGAAUAGUAUUCGUAUCGUAUUUAUAUUUAACCUUAAUGUAUUUUGUAUCUGAUCGCGUCUGACACUUUUAAGACACAAAAUACAAAUUACCAGGUCUACCUAUUUAUAUAAUAUUUUAUUAUUAUUUAUAUAAUAGAUAAUAGAUAAUUAAAUAACAUUUGUUAAAUUUUGUUGGUGUUUGGAUUGAACUUGUGUAAGGAUUAAAAAUAAUUCACAUUUUUACCAACUUUGUGAAUAAUUCAUUUGGAUAGAAAUUGAUAGAUAUAUUAACGAUAUAUGAUUGUUAGUCAAAUUAUUAUGUGAUGUCAUUAAUAUAUUUAAAUUAAAAAUUUAUUAAAUUAUUAAUUAUGUUUAAAUAAUAUGAAUAUCAUAUCAUAAUAGAAAGAAUAUAAUUACUAUUAUAUAUAUAUAUAUAUAUACACAUUUAAUAUAAAUAUAUUUCUUUUUAAUUUUGUAUUUUACAAAAAUUAUAAUUUAUAAAAUUAUUAGUUAUAAUAUAUAUACUUUUGUUUACAUAAACUUAUAAAUAUAUGCCUAAAAAGAAGUUGUGAGAUUAUAAUAAUUUUACAAUUUAUUUUGGUUUUUAAUUUGAUAUAAUUAAGGAAAAACGUAUAGAGAUAAUUAAAUUAAUUUAUGAAAUUAUAAUUAUUGAUCAACUGUAAUGUCUUUAUAUAUAUAUAUAUAUACUUUAUAUAUUAUGUUAAUUUAUAAAAAAUAUAAUUACUACUAUAUAUAUACUUUUAAUAUAAACAUAUUUACUUCUAUUUUGUGUUAACAUUACAAAAAUUAUAUUUUAUAAAAUUAUUAAUUAUAAAUAUAUAUACUUUUAUUUACAUACACUUAUAAUAUAUGUCUCUAAAGAGAGGUUGUGAGAUUAGAAUAUAAUUAUUAUUUGUUUGCUUAUAUAAAUUUAAAUUAAACAAUGAUUAUUGUAAACUUAUAAUUUAUUAUUUAUUUGUUUUUAUAAAUUUAAUUAUUAGUGAAUUAUAUAGAAUAUGGAUAUAAAUUGUGAACUAUAAUUCAAUUGUAUAUGGAUAUGGAUUUGGGAUAGCUAUGGAAGAAUUUCUAAUUGCAUAAUGAUCAAUGUAAAUUGAAAAUUGAAGAAAACAAUGAAAUGUGAAUCAAUGCACACCAGAUGACUGAUCUGUUUAGCCGACAUUUUUUUUUUCAUUUUUCUUUCAGAUUUUCAUGUGGAAUGAGUAAUUGAAGCUUCAGCUUCCAUAGGAACACUUUUUGUUUUUCAUUCGUUUCCUUUCUCAAUACAGUUUCUAGGCUUUAGAAGUAGCAAGCUAUCCAUAUUCGCUAGGCCCGAAUCAUGAGUUCUAUUGAUUUCUCUGUUUUCUAGUUUUGCCAUCUUUGUCAGAUCUGAUACUGGAGUUCUACUGGAUCUAUGUUAUCUAUAGGGGCCUUUCCUUUUCCUUUUGCGCCUUGCUGAAACACUAUCUUCUUUAUAUAUACUGUAAAAAUGAAUGGUUUGGGUACAGAAGAAUCUGAUCAUAACUAUAAAUUUAUGUUCAGAUGUCAAACAUGACAUAAGUAAAACUUUAUUGCUCUUUUUUCCCACUACAGAAUAAGAUAUUGAACAUAACAAGGGAAAUAUUACAGAUGCAAGAGGCUAUGGCCUAGGAUAAACCACACUAAGGGAAAACACUGGUAUAACAGAUUUUGAAUGUGUGCCAUGUGAAGGGGCUUAAUUCUUCACAGUUGUCACAUACUUCAGAAGCAUUUGGACAUCAUCUGAUAUUCUUGGAUAGAAGAAACAGAGAAGGGGAAUUGAUGGAAAUGGUAAUGGCUACAAAAAAGAGAUGGAUGGAUAAUGGUAAAGGAAUUAUCAUAAUACAUGAUGAGAACAUUGAAGAAAAAAAGGGAAAUUUUACAUGAUAAAGGAGUUGGUGAUCUAGAAGAUACUUAAAGGAAAAAUAAAUUGGGUAGGAAAGUUGUAAGAAGAAGAAAAGAAAUUUUAGAUAAAAGAAGUUGCUAUGGUUUUUAUGAAGAACUAUGGCUAAAAGCCCUAUUCAGUAGGCAAGGAAUAGAAACUAACAUAGAGUAAGAGAAAAGAUACGAUAAUCGCAAAGUUGUGUACUGAUCUGUUUCAUUAAUGAUAAACACAAGGCUUAUAUACGAAAUAUGCAUGAAGAACACUUGUAAAAUAGUAAAACAAGUGUUAAGCCUAAUUACAUGCACCUGAACACAUAUGGAAUAGGAAUGACACAUAAGCAUUUUUCAUGACCAGUACAAUGAAGCAAACUGAUAUAAAAUAUUAAACAAACUUAGUUAAGAUGUUUUCCACGCGCUGACUGCAUGCAAGCCUUAACUUCAUAACACUCAUUUUUAAGACUUGUACCCAGCACACUCAGUUUGCUUCUGAGGAAUUCGAGUCUUCGCUUAGGCAGUAUCUUCGUCAUUAUAUCUGCUAAUUGGACCCCGGAUGGACAGUACUGCACUUUUACAUCUCCUUUUUGUUCAGCAUCCCAGAUAGCAUGGUAUUUAACUUGAAUAUGCUUUGUCUUUCCAUGAAAGGCAGAAUUUUUGGUCAAGGGGAUGGUUGAUUUUUUAUCAACGAUAAGAGCAAUAGCUUGUAUAUGAGGAAGUUGCAAGUCAAUUAAGACUUUUCUCAACCAAAGUGCCUAAUUUGAGGUUUUUGCAACUGUUAUGUAUUUAGCCUCCGCAGAGGACUGAGCAACCACAUUUUGUAUAUGUGUGUUCCAUGGAAAAAUCCCAUUUCCAAGUGAAAAAAGUAACCUGUGGUGCUCUUACUAUUUCAGAAUAGCCGGUGAGAACUAUUUCAGAUUGUCGAGAGAAAUGCAGGUCACAAUUUAGGGUACCCUUGAGGUAUAUGAGGAUUCGGUUUGCUGCAGCAAGGUGUAAAUUGGUAAGCUCCUGCAUGAAUCCGGAUAAUAAGCUGACAAGAAACAUGAUGUCAGGACAAGAUGAGCAGAUUGGGUCCUGGUACCUCCAUCCUCUUUGGUUGAUAUUCUGAUUAAGGAUGGCCUUCCUGCACCACAUUUAAGAGAGGAAGUUGGGAGACAUCGAGGAACCCUUGUUUUUCUUUUUCUCAAUUUGUCUCUCUUACGUGUUUUUUUUUUUUGGUAUUUUAUCUUAAUUUAUUGUUUAGGGUAUUUAUCUUAGUUUCAGAAUGUUAAUGUAAAGUUGUGUGAAAGAAUAUGUGAAAAUUAUAUUAUAUUUAUAUUAUGAUACUCAUUUUGGCACCCAUGGCAAGAUUAUAUAAAUUGUGCAUUUAUAUAGACAUUGUUAAUAGAUAAAUAUAAAACUUUUUUCCCUUCCUUGUUAUUUUCUUGUUAAUGAACAAAAAAAAUACUAGCCUUGAGCAUCAAUUGUUAUUUUUCUCAAGGGAAAUCGGACAUCUUUCUCAUCUCCUAAAAUUUGGUUAAAAAGUCAAAUGCUUCCAGUUAGAUCAAUUUGUAUAUAUAACGAGAAAUAUUUAUUUUCUUUCAUCAUUUUAUUGAUUUGAUUUUAAUCAAAAGAUUGAAAUAGGUUUACUGUCAUUUUAUUCAUUCUAUUUAUACAUUAACGAUUUUCAGUUUGGGUCAAACUAAGAUACAUUGAACUAGGUUUAAAUUUUUAUAAACUAAUUUGGUACAUAAAUCAAAAACUUCAACUUGCUUUAAAGUAAAAGUACUUACUUUUUCCGCUUAAUAAUAUUUUUCAGAAACAUUAACAUCAAGCUGACAUGCUCCUUAAAUGUAGACAAUAAGGAAAAGAUUGACACGAUUAAAGGCUACGCCACCCAUCAUUUCACCGACCUUUACAUGUUGACUGGGCAAAAAGAUAAUUGGAACCGUUAUGUUCUUGAACCUUUGUAAACAAGUCUCUCCUUUUUUUUUUUCAAAUCCAUUCUCUCUGUCUCUCUCUAUUCUGAGGAACUUUCUUGUUUUAUUUUAUUUUUUCAUCUUUGUUUUGUUCAAUUCGCUUUUUCACCUCUUCGUCGUCUGUAAGUAAGCUUGAAGCAACGUCGAGAUUUCAACACUCACUGCACAGUCUCCUCUCUUCACUUUCCCUCUUCUUUGUUUAUCUUACGACCACUAUCUAUUCUCAAGGUUUCGUUAUAAUUUCCCACCAAUAUUUAAAGCUUCGUUUCUUUCUCCUGUUAUGAGGUAUUGUUACUAAGCUUUGAAGGUUUUGUAUACCAAAACAGCAGAUUCAUGAAUUUCUUCUUUUUUAUGUUCAUUGACUCAAUAAUUAAUUGUAGGCGGUUUAAAGAUGGAGGUUACCAUGAAGGAGUCAAUAAUGGUAUGUCCGGCUGAAGAAACUCCAAACCAAAGGCUAUGGGUCUCUAACUUGGACUUUAGUGGUGACAAGAUACCAUAUUUGUACUGUAUACUUCUACAAGCCAAAUGGUUCUUCUAAUUUUUUUGACACAAAAGUGUUGAAGGAGUCUUUAGGUAAGAUUCUCGUGCCAUUUUACCCCUUAGCAGGAAGGUUGGGAUAUGAUGAAAAUGGAAGACUUGAAAUAAUCUGCAAUGCGAAGGGAGUGCUAUUCAUAGAGGCUGAAACUACUUCUAUCAUGGAUGAUUUAGUUAAAGAAUUUAAAGAUGAUUCAGAAGGUCCUCAACUAGUUCCAAAAAUAGACUAUUCUGGACGAAUUUCUUCCUAUCCUCUACUCGGGUUACAGGUACAAGUUAGCUUUCACCAAACAAGAAUAAAAAGGAAAAAAUUAAUAAAGUUGCUUUUUUGCAUAUAAUUAACUUAUGUGUUUAUUAAAGAAAAAUAUUUUAAUUAGCUGCUCACUUAAUACUAUUUUGAAAAAAUUAAUGACUGAAAAGUAAGGAUAUAUAGAGGGAUAAGUAGAAACCAUGCUAUGAGUUAGGUAGUAAGGGAGUUUAGCUGACCAAGUUUCAUUCUUCUUUCAAUUAUUUAAUUUAUUAUUUCUAGAUUAUAUUUUGUCAUAAUUCAUUCCUCUACAGAUUGCUGUUAGAAAAUAUGAAUGUUACAUAUAAGAUAAGUAAUACACCUCAACUUAAUAUAUUUCAAAAUUAAAAUAAAUUUCUCAAAAUUAAGGAGUAGUUAGAUUGUUUCAUACAUUUAUCAAUUAAACUCUGCUCUUUAGGUUGUGUGCUUAGUUUUCUAGUUCAAAAGUUUGUACUACAAAUGAUAAACACAUUUUUUUUUAUGAAAAUUGCUUAUGAAUUUCCUUUUUCCUGAAUUGCUUUUAUAAGCCAUGUAUUUGACAAGAACAAUUGCAUAUGAAUAUUGCAAUUAUUGGUAGGUAACUACUUUCAAAUGUGGAGGAAUUUCUCUUGGAGUUUCUACUCAACACACAUUGGUAGAUGGUUCAUCUGGACUUCAUUUCAUUAAUAGCUGGGCCAACACAGUACGAGGAUGCUCCCCUAACAUUGCUCCGUUCUUGGAUCGUACCCUUCUUCGAGCUCGACACCCACCGACUCCAAAAUUUCGUCAUAUUGAAUUGAACCAUCUCCUUCUUUACAAAUUAUGAUUUCAACAUCAAAAUCCCAGCUAUGUCCCAAGCCAUCAAUUGUAUCUGUCUUUACAAUCACAACCGAUAAGCUAAAUGCCCUCAAAGUCAAAGUAAAUGAAAAUUCAAAUAGUAAUACAAAAUAUAGCACCUACAGUAUCUUAACUGCACACAUAUGGCGUUGCGCAACCAAAGCAAGAGACCUCUUAGAGGAUCAGCAACUCAAGUUAAACAUGCCAGUUGAUGGACGGAACAGAUUGCAUCCUCCUCUCCCACCUGGCUACAUUGGCAAUGUAAUCUUCAUGGCUGCACUCGUUGCUUUAGCUGGUGAACUUUUAUCAAAAUCAUUCAUAGAUACCGUCAAGAGAAUUCAUAAAAUAUUGAAAGAAAUGGAUGAUGAAUAUUUGAGAUCUGCAAUUGACUAC